This 253-nucleotide ribosomal RNA is filed under the name uncultured bacterium. RNAcentral describes it as "partial 16S ribosomal RNA". It matches the Rfam family "Bacterial small subunit ribosomal RNA", at positions 524 to 776 of the family's 1533-position model. The record is from RNAcentral.
UACGUAGGGUCCGAGCGUUGUCCGGAAUUAUUGGGCGUAAAGAGCUCGUAGGCGGUUUGUCGCGUCUGCUGUGAAAUCCCGAGGCUCAACCUCGGGUCUGCAGUGGGUACGGGCAGACUGGAGUGCGGUAGGGGAGAAUGGAAUUCCUGGUGUAGCGGUGGAAUGCGCAGAUAUCAGGAGGAACACCGAUGGCGAAGGCAGUUCUCUGGGCCGUAACUGACGCUGAGGAGCGAAAGCAUGGGGAGCGAACAGG